This 527-nucleotide ribosomal RNA is filed under the name uncultured Gemmatimonadota bacterium. Its description in RNAcentral is "bacterial SSU rRNA". It matches the Rfam family "Bacterial small subunit ribosomal RNA", at positions 370 to 896 of the family's 1533-position model. The record is from RNAcentral. Lineage: Bacteria; Pseudomonadati; Gemmatimonadota.
AAUGGUCGAAAGACUGACGCAGCGACGCCGCGUGCGGGAGGAAGCCCUUCGGGGUGUAAACCGCUGUUACUCGGGACGAACUUCCCGAUUUGUCGGGAUUGACGGUACCGGGGGAGGAAGCACCGGCUAACUCUGUGCCAGCAGCCGCGGUAAUACAGAGGGUGCGAGCGUUGUCCGGAAUCACUGGGCGUAAAGGGCGCGUAGGCGGCUUUUCACGCGUGCGGUGAAAGCUCGGGGCUUAACUCCGAGUCUGCCGUGCGAACGGGGAGGCUUGAGUCUGGUAGAGGUCGAUGGAAUUCCGGGUGUAGCGGUGGAAUGCGUAGAGAUCCGGAAGAACACCGGUGGCGAAGGCGGUCGACUGGGCCAGUACUGACGCUGAGGCGCGACAGCGUGGGGAGCAAACAGGAUUAGAUACCCUGGUAGUCCACGCCGUAAACGAUGGGCACUAGAUCCUUGGGGGAGCGACCCCUUGAGGGUCGGCGCUAACGCAUUAAGUGCCCCGCCUGGGGAGUACGGCCGCAAGGCUG